RNAcentral lists this small RNA (142 nucleotides) under Sphenodon punctatus (tuatara). RNAcentral's name for it is "TUC338 (ENSSPUG00000018560.1)". Lineage: Eukaryota; Metazoa; Chordata; Lepidosauria; Sphenodontia; Sphenodontidae. The record is from RNAcentral.
CUGACAGCCCUGGAGAGUGAUGUCCUCAUUUAACCAUGGAACAGGUGCAGCAGGGGCAAGCCCUCUCUGUACUGUCCCCUGCUAGUAAAUCUCUUCUCUAGCUUUUAGGGGUCUUCUCUGGUCUUUUCAGUCUUUGACCCCU